This is a long non-coding RNA of Eriocheir sinensis (Chinese mitten crab), 4798 nucleotides long. RefSeq lists it as uncharacterized. The record is from RefSeq and is a predicted model, not a curated record. The transcript has 2 exons. NCBI's taxonomy places the organism in Eukaryota, Metazoa, Arthropoda, Malacostraca, Decapoda, Varunidae.
GAUAGCAAGGUCAGAGUUUAAGUGUUCUGUAGCAUCUAACCUUGAAUCCUGUUUGUCCUGUUGGGAGCGUCAUCUUUUAAAAGCUGAAUAAUGCAGAGUUGAGUCAUCAGUGUAGAAGUAGAUAGAACAGUUUAUUUAUGGAAAGAUCAUUAAUGAACAAUAGUGGGAUAUAGAACAGAGCCCUGUGGGACACCACUGUUGACAGGUUUAGGGGAAGAACAGUGACCGUCUACCACAGCAAAGAUAGAUCAUUCGGAAAGAAAACCGGAGAUAAAAGUACAGAGAGAGGGAUAGAAUCCGUAGGAGGGUAAUUUAGAAAGAAAAUGUUUGUGCCAGACUCUGACAAAAGCUCCUUAGAUCUAAGGCAACAGCAAAAGUUUCACUUUUAAACAGUUAAGUGAGGAUGACCAGGAGUCAGUCAGGAAGGAAAGAAAAUCACCAUUACAACACCCCUUGUGGAACCCAUACUGGCAAUCUGAGGAAAGGUCAGAAGCUGAUAGAUGGUUAAGAACCUUCCGGUUAAGGAUAGAUUCAAAAGCUUUAGAAAGACAAGAAAGUAAAGCUAUGGAACGGUAGUUUGAGGGAUUGGAAAGAUCACUUCUCUAAAUUACAGGCUGUAUGUAGGCGUACUUCCAGCAGGAAGGAAAGGUAGAGACGAAAGAGUUUGACCAGGCAGGGUGUCAGCAUGGAUGCACAAUUUUUAAAGACAAUAAGAGGCACUUCAUCAGGUCUAUAUAAGCCUUUGAGUGUUGGUACCAGAGAGGGCAUAAAAAACAUCUCUCUUAAUUUUAAUAACAGGCAUAAUGGAGUCAGAGGGGGGGGAUGAGUUGGAGGAAUAUGCCCUGAAUCAUCCAGAGUGGAAUUUUUUGAGAAAGUUUGAGUAAAGAUUGUAAUGCUUACUGAUAGUUUUCAAGGCAAUAAUGAAUUUUUGAGAUUAAUUGGUGCUUUGGAGAAAGAAGUGACAUUAUUAUUAUUACCAUAAUUUCUUUCAAGUUACUUCAUCGCGAAGGUCAAAGAUUGCAAUACUGUACUUUUUUAUUUCUUUUGUGAAGUUUACUACUAAAAAUGGAAGGUUAAGAAAUACAAGUUUUUUCUUUCCAUUUUCCAUUUUACAAAUAAGUCGCAUGACACGUCCACAGCUUUGACACUACUGAGUCUCUCGCUCCGGUGCUUGCCCGGACGGGCAGCCGUCCCAGCCCCAUCAAGUCUUAUUCGUGCUUUUAAGUUUACAAGAAAUAUUACAAAACAACAACAUACUGUUCAUCCUGUCAGUAACUCGUCCAACGCUUUCUCAUAAUAACCUAAAUAUUUAACUAUAGCACAAAAGAUCAACAAUACAUAUCUAUCUAUAUCACCAACACCCUGUUCCCUCAUGGGAACUUUCCUCAGUGGGGUGGACAAGGCGAAAAAAUCUCUAAUAAUUCACACAAUAAUAAAUAUGUCAUCUAUCACACAGUAAUGAGGAAUAUCCAUGAAAAAGUUCAAUUCACUGGGAAUGCAUGAAUUAACUGUACAGUAAACAUACCUUAUUCAACACCAUAAAUGCCAUGUGUUAAUGACCAAGAUGCUAAGUCACAGAAAAUGGAAUGUAUAAAAGAGACAGCACAUACCUUGUAGAGGUUAAUAAAAAUACUUAACAUGCAUAUCAUUAAUAAAACAACUGUCCAUCUUGGGAAUGUAACACUGAAUGACAAAUGAAUUCAUUUACAUGUAUCCUAACUACUGAAACCACAUCAGUUUUUACCUACCUGCCCCUCAGGUUACUCUAUCGUCCAAGUAUUUGAGGAACACAAAUGAUAUACUGAGGAACUUCAAUCAGGUUCUCUAUGUCUAGUUGACUGAACUUUGGGGCUGAAGCAACUAUAACAAAUAUAUAUCAGAGCUGCCUUCAAAUGUUAAAUGUGAAAGUACUCAGUACAUUGGAUCACUGAGAUGGGCACUUGAACACAUAAUGCCAAGAGUGAUUCGCUAACUAGUUCCAUACCUGGCAAAACCAUUAUAAAAAUAAAAUAAAAAGGUCUUCAUUGCUUUAUACCACUCGUGUUGGCUUUAAAAAGACUUCUUAUUCCUAUAUGUUCCUCUCCAAGACUGUAUAAACAGUAACGGUAUCAAAGUCAAUGAGUCAUCCUGUAAACACUACCUAUUACUGUGACCUGCCCCAAAACACUGCACCAUUAUUAUUACCAGGAAUCCAUAAAAUGACGACAUAGCUGGACAUUGCCUUAGCUGAGGAGACAAUAGAGUUGAUGAGUUUCUAUAUUUUGAACUAUUCUGUUGGCUUGCUGCCUCCACCAUCACACAACUGCACUGCAUGCUCUUGGCUGCCAGCAAAGAACUAAAAUCAAGUGAUAGAUUAUUGUCAAAAUAACAUACUCAUGAUAUUACUGAUAUAUUCAUAUAUGUCACAACAACUUCAAGAAAACACUCUUUGCAAAUGUUUAAUGUAAAAUAUGCAACAGACAUCUGGUUUCAACACUGAAAUCCUUAAGUGUAAAUGACAAGGUAAAGAGGUUGAGCAAGACCCACUCAACUGCUAAUUCAUAAAAAUAUCGACACAUAGCAGGUACUAGACACAUAUACAUAAAAAGGUCACAAAAAAAUGCAAUUCAUACAAUAGCUGCUGACAGACUGUAUCACUAUAAUGCAAGCUCAAUUAUUUUCAAACAUGAGAUUAAGUUUACUUUGUGCCAUACUUGUGUUUGAAAGCUCACUGCUUCCUGACCCUCGUCCUAAUUUUCACACAAUCUCUUCCCCCAAGGGAGUGCCUCAGCUACCUCCACAAGCCCUGGGGGCCACAGUGUAGCUGACAGCACCAACAUCUUGUUGGGAACUUCACUAAAAGUUCCCAACUGAAAAUGUGCCAUUUCCACUUUGUUUCCCGAAGUGUCAGUGAGGGACUACAAAGAUCCUGCAAUAGAUGUUGCUGGUCAACGGGCAGGUGAGGCAUUGCAAGGGUAUAACUGGACAAUCUGUGUCACUUCAGGGAAACACUGCAGUUAUUAGUGAAAUAACUAUAUUUUCUUUAAUAAAACUAUUCAGAGGCCCAAGAGACUAAGACUGAAUAUGCAUAAAUAAGAAGGGAAGAUGACGGAGGGCAACAGAAAUAUAAUUUAAAUAAGAGAAGAACCCAUCCUAACAAUUCUGUUAAUUGUAAAUGAGUAUUAUAUUACUAGGCCUGAGGGCAUGACACAUCCUAAGGUGAGAGGAGUGACUCACUAAAUGACACAGGAAUGAGACAACUAGCAGAUGGUUACCUCACUGAAGCCUAAAUUCUAAGGUAGCUGUAAUGCAUGUUUGCCAAUUAGCAAGCAAACUCCCAAAUGCUGCUCAAAUCAAGAAAGAAAAUAAACUUCUAGAAAAUUUAACUCAGCUGCUGUCAAAAUAAAGUGUCCAGUCUUGAUUGGGACGACAUUUUCACAUCACAGAAUAAUCUUGCUCCUUAUUUUUUUCCUGAUCCAAGUACUAAUCAGUACUAAUUGGCAAACAGCUCACAUUGCCUCUGCUUCCCAUUGGCAUGUAAGGCAGCCUCUGUCAUGAACACUAAACACUAGGGACAGGUAGGUGUUGGGUGUACGGCUGCAGGACAACAGCCAGUCAUGUAAUGGCAGGUCAUGUUGGGCAGUGGUUAUAAGGAAGGGCUGGUGGUAUGAUGCACAGUGCCUUUUCUACCAUGGUCAAAAGCAUAUAUCAAGUCCGUGGAGAGUGGGGUCAAGGGAUUGGGUUGUACUGGUGACCUUCCUGCUUUCCUUACUCUCUCAAGUCUUUGGUAAAAUUUUUGCUGUGGCUUCAGACAUCUUGAAAGCUUUUGACAGAGGCUGGCAUUAAUCUUUGCUUUCUAUACUAUCCCACAGUGGACUAUUCUUCUCUCUGUACUUUAAUCUCCACUUUCUUUUCUGGCUAUCUAUUUCUGCUGUAAUAGACUAUCAUUGUUCCACUCCUAUACCUACAUACUGGUGUUCCACAGGGUUCUGUUCGAUCACCCACUCUUCUGUAAUUCAUUGAUGACCUUUGCAAAGUAAACUGUACUAACCAGUUAUGCUGAUGAGAACACUUAACCUCUGAUCUUUCUAUUAUGUUCCUUCAGAACGGGCUGAGCCAGUAAUCCUACCUCCAGAAAGCUGGCUUCCUGGAUCUGUGAGUGUACUCUGAGAUUCAACGAGCACCCUCAGUGUUCAAACUUGAAUAUUGGUGAAGAUCCACCACUACAUGUCUGCACAUAUCAGGUCCACCUGCCCCUCCUGAUGACCUGAGGCAGAGCCCUGAGCCCACACACCAGGCCACUGUGUCCCCUCUGCCCCGCCUGAUGCCCCGCAGAACAAGGAAGUGGAGUCCAGGCACCAGACCAGCCUCAUGCCCUGGCCACAACAGUGCUGCUCAACAAGUUUCACAAAAUCUUUACCUGGAAUAUUUUUCCCCAUAUUCAGUGAUGCAUUCAAUGUCCUCAGUCAGAUCAUUUUCACAAAACAUUUCCAACAGCAAAAUUCUAUUUGCAUAACAAGGAAAUUUUAGGUCUUAGUUUCCAGGAUGGUGGCAGCCCAAAAGAUAAGGCAGUCUGGCAGGCAGCUGCCACACACAAAGAUUACAACCUAUCCCUUCACUAACACUCCAUGAAAGGUGACAAUACUGUGUGCUCACGAGCUAACCAACCAUCAAGACGUCUGGUAAAGAGUAAUAUGCAGACAUCUGCGCCCUAAGGUCAGACACACUGUACACUAAAUAUACAAAAAAAUAUUGCACCUUGUGAUAAUUGCAUCAUGAACACACACACACACAUUAUCUAUCUAUCUAUCUAUCUAUC